Long non-coding RNA from Toxorhynchites rutilus septentrionalis, 915 nucleotides. RefSeq lists it as uncharacterized. The transcript is spliced from 3 exons. The record is from RefSeq and is a predicted model, not a curated record. NCBI's taxonomy places the organism in Eukaryota, Metazoa, Arthropoda, Insecta, Diptera, Culicidae.
UUAUUUAUUUAUUUGUUGGAGGAAUUAUUAUGUUAAUAUAAUUAAAAUAUUUAAAUCACACUUGCCAAACUUCUGCUGAAACAUAAGUACUCAGUACAAAUGAAACAGACUUUUUCCCGUCGAUCAUUGCACACGACGAUGUUCAUAACUUGCAUGAAAUCGUUGUGCUGUUGUACGCAACACAACAUCUAAGAGCGAGGCAAAGCUCAUGUUCCGCCACACCAAUACAAGAGCGAGUGGCUUAAGCGACGCUAGCUUGAGUGGUCACUCAUGCGCGAGGAAAAUAAAGAAGCCAGGUUUCGUGGAAGAAUCGCGAGAAUUAGCUGACUCAACCUUGAAACAAAGAGCGGACAAUUAUGACUUGUUUAGCUGUAGGACUGGGGGUCUGGGGAAAUUCGCGGUUCAAAAAGAACCUUAUUGGCUUCGGCAAAUAUUGUUCUCCUGGAGGAAAGGGUUAAUUGUUUGAAGCAACCGUCAUACUUUUUGCUCGUUCACUUUGACCCAAUCUGUGGAAGAGGCAGGAGUGCGAUUUUGAAAUCGCGUCGCGGUGUGUUUUUGAAUUGUUGCUUUUUUGUAUAGGGAAAAUUAACGAAGAAAUUCAAAUUUACCAAGGUUUCGUUAAGUGUCUGUGCUUUGAAAUAAAGCUCCAAAAGCCGUUCGACGGCGGUUUAUUUAGGGUUGAUUUCCUGAGAACCAACACAUCCUUCGAGGCUCGGCACACCGCAGAGGACAACGUGACGCACUGCUGACCCCACGAUCUGGAGUCAAAGUUCCCGACAAAGCCAUUUCCGUCGGAAGGGAGUGCUACGCUAUAACAGCACUCCGGGCAGAGCCAGUUUGAAUUCAAACCGUGAGUACCCUAACCCGUUAUAACAUGCGCAUGUGGGUGGGUAUUUCUUAUUGAACGGUAAAUGA